AACCUCACUGUUGUCAAUAGGCU
This 23-nucleotide non-coding RNA is filed under the name Rattus norvegicus (Norway rat). The record is from RNAcentral. Lineage: Eukaryota; Metazoa; Chordata; Mammalia; Rodentia; Muridae.